RNAcentral lists this ribosomal RNA (5409 nucleotides) under Candidatus Magasanikbacteria bacterium CG10_big_fil_rev_8_21_14_0_10_40_10. RNAcentral describes it as "23S ribosomal RNA". The stretch from base 6 to 3307 matches the Rfam family "Bacterial large subunit ribosomal RNA". The record is from RNAcentral. Lineage: Bacteria; Candidatus Magasanikiibacteriota.
UUUUGUCGUACGCAAUUAAGCGCAUAUGGUGGAUGCCUAGGCACCACAAGACGAAGAAGGACGUAGCAGCCUGCGAAAAGUCUCGGGGAGGUGGCAAGCAACCUUUGAUCCGGGAAUAUCCGAAUGGGGGAACCCAUCCCGACUUAGUCGGGAAAUCAUAUACUGAAUACAUAGGUAUAUGAAGAAGACCUGGGGAAGUGAAACAUCUCAGUACCCAGAGGAAAAGAAAUCACAGAAAUUCCCUUAGUAGUGGCGAACGAACGGGGAACAGCCUAAAUCAUACAAAUGUUUCCGUGGGAUUCGAUUGAUCUAAAGAUUAAUUUUGACCCGCGGUUUAAAGGUGCGGACCGUUGUUUGUAUGACGUUGUAAGAUACUAGCGCCGGUUUUCCGUAAAAACCGGGUAUAGUCAUUAUUUUUAGCAGAAGGCCAUGGAAAGGGCCUCCAAAGACGGUGAAAGACCGGUACGCGAAAAAAAUAAGCGACUGUAUGGUUAGUGUUCUUGAGUAGGGCGGGACUCGUGAAAUCCUGUCUGAAUCUAGGCCGACUAUGGUCUAAGGCUAAAUACUUUUGGUGACCGAUAGUGAACAAGUACCAUGAGGGAAAGGUGAAAAGCAGCCCGAUUAGGGCGAUGAAAUAGUAUCUGAAACCAUAUGCUUACAAAGAGCUGGAGUACCGAUUUAAUCGGUAUGACAGUAUUCCUAUUGAAGAAUGAGCCUGCGAGUAUGUGCAUGUCGCCGUCCCAUUAGGGACAAGCUUAAGGUCCUCUGGACCGGAGGCAUAGCGAAAGCGAGUCUAAAGCGGCGAAUUUAGUGGCAUGUACAUAACCCGAAACCGGGUGAGCUAUCCAUGGCCAGGGUGAGCUCCGAUGAAAAUCGGAGGGAGGCCCGAACCCACGCGCCGUUCAACACGCGGGGAUGAGCUGUGGAUGGGGGAGAAAUUCCAAUCGAACUCGGUGAUAGCUGGUUUUCCUCGAAAUAGCUUGAGGGCUAGCCUCAAAUGUUUCUGUCGGCGGUAGAGCACUGGAUGAGGUCGGGGUCCUUCGGGAUACCCGCUUCAAUCAAACUCCGAAUGCCGAUCAGUUAAGUUUGGGAGUCAGACUGUGAGGGCUAAGCUUCAUAGUCAAAAGGGAAACAGCCCAGAUCGCAAGCUAAGGUCCCUAAAUCUGUGUUAAGUGCACGCAAGGCGGUUUUAAUUCUCAUACAACCAGGAGGUUGGCUUAGAAGCAGCCAUCCUUUAAAGAAAGCGUAAUAGCUCACUGGUCAAGAGUUUUAGCGCCGAGAAUGUAUCGGGGCUCAAACACAGUACCGAAGCUGCGAGUCCUUCCCGAUUUAAUCAGGAAGGGCGGUAGAGGAACAUUCCCAUCUGCGUUGAAGCCGGAUCCGCGAGGACCGGUGGAGUGGUGGGAAGAGAGUAUGCAGGCAUAAGUAGCAAAAAGGCAGGCGAGAAUCCUGCCCGCUGAAAACCUAAGGUUUCCUGGGCAACGAGAAUCGCCCCAGGGUUAGUCGAUCCUAAGGCCAGGCCGAAAGGCGUAACCGAUGGAAGAACAGGUUAAUAUUCCUGUACUGCGCAUAGUUUGGUUUCCAAUGCGCAUCUUAAAUCUUUAUGCGUGUUCUUGGUUAUACACGUUUCGCAAGAAGGAGACAAAGCCUUCGGGUGGAGUCAACUUAAAGAAGAGAGAUGCCUAGAAAAGUUGGAAAUCGUUAAGCUGUGCGUAACCGUACCGUAAACCGACACAGGUAGGUAGGUCGAGAAGACCAAAGCGUACGAGAGAACCCUCGUUUAGGAACUCGGCAAAAAAUCGGCCGUAACCUAGGGAUAAGGCCUUCCCGAUUUAAUCGGGAUACAACAAAAGAUCUCCUGCGACUGUUUACCAAAAACACAGCUCCCUGCAAAAGCGCAAGCUGAAGUAUAGGGGGCGACGCCUGGCCAGUGUCAGAACGUUAAGGGGAGAGGUUAUUCACCUUCGGGUGGAGAAGCUUUGAUCCGAAGCGCUGAUGAACGCCGGCGAUAACUAUAAUCGUCCUAAGGUUUUCCAGAUUAUUUUUAGUCUGGAAAAGGACUGGGACGAUUAUAUGUAAUUCGUUGCCUAUCUUUCAAGUAAUUGAAAGGAUGUCCAAAAAUAGUCAGCCAUAUGCUGGAAAAUCUGAGCAUCAAACACUACUAUAAAGAAUGCCAUAAUUAGUAUAUAUAUUAAAUAUGGCAUCAAAUAGUAACAAUGUGAUUUGUGCAGAAAACCAGCAGGAAAGACUUAUCAAGGUUGGAUGGAUUAUCGGUUUUGUUGAUGGCGAAGGAUGCUUUUCAGUUGGUUUUAUUAAACAAGCCAAUAAAAUUGAAAAGAACAGACUUCGUCGUGGUUAUAAAAUCGGUUAUCAAGUGACAUGUGAAUUUGCCGUUACUCAAGGUAAAAAAAGUCUUGGCUCUUUGAAAGAGCUAAGAAAUUUUUUUAGAGUUGGUAGAAUAUACAUAAAUAGAAGAAAAGACAAUCAUAAAGAACCUUUGUACAGGUUCGUAGUCAGAAAUAGAAAAGAAUUGACCGAGGUGAUUGUUCCUUUCUUUCAGAAAUUCACAUUAAAAACAUCCAAACGCAAAGAUUUUACGAAGUUCGUUGAAUGUCUUGAGAUGGUAAAAAAUAAUGAACACCUGCAAAUAAACGGAUUCAUUAAAAUAGCCAAAAUUACAAUGACAAUGAACAGAAGAAAGAAUCGAAGCGCUUUGAUAAGAAUCCUCAGAGACCAUACGCUGACCUCCAAAUCUGUAGAGAUUUUGGAUGAAGAGAUGGUCCGGACUGCAUAGCGAUAUGCAGGCUAUACAAUAGCGCCAAUUUAACUUAAUUGGUAACAUAUCAAGCGAAAUUCCUUGUCGUGUGAGUUACGACCCGCACGAAUGGCGUAACGGUGGGAGAACUGUCUCAACGAGGGACUCGGUGAAAUUGCAAGACCGGUAAAGAUGCCGGUUACCCGCAGCUGGACGAAAAGACCCCGUGAAGCUUUACUACAACUUGAUAUUGGUUUAAGGGCAAACAUGUUCAGAAUAGGUGGGAGCCUUCGGGCAACAGUGAGAUACCACCCUUGUUUAUUUUUAAACCUAAUUUUUUCGCUUGAAUCAGCGAAAGAAAACAGUAUCUGGUGGGUAGUUUAUCUGGGGCGGAUGCCUUAAAGUGGUAUUAUUCUCCGUUUUACCACAAGGGGGCGUUUUGGCUAUAUGCUGGAACCUCCGAGUAUCCAACUUGACUAAAUUUUAGUAAAACUAAGUUGGUGCGGACAAUCAGCAGGGAAGUUUGUUGACUUUCGCCUUUGGCGAAUCAGCAUAACCCCUCAACGACUACACGCCAAAUUCCAAUUAAGCUAAUUGGCUUAAUUGGAAAUGAUAUAGUCUGACCUGUUCCGAUGUUAAAUCGGAGUCCCAAUUAAAUUUAUAUUGGGAUAUGGCGACAUACAGAUUCCGAAAUUAUUUCGGAAACCUAAAAAAUAUGAAAAUAAUAAAAAUAAAACAAAAGCAAAGGGAUAUAAUAAUUGGAAAAAUUCUUGGCGAUGGUCACUUGGAAACAAUGACCAAGGGCAAAACAUAUAGACUGAAGAUUGAACAUUCUAUCAACCAAAAAGAAUAUGUUGAUUGGGUGUAUAAAAAUCUUCAAUCAAUCGCGUCUAAACAUCCCCAAGAAAGAGUUAUCCAAUUAAACGACAAGCAAUAUAAAAAGUACUGGUUUAACACCAUAAAUACUCCUUCAUUAAGAUUUUAUGCGCAGCAAUUUUAUCAUGGCAGGAAAAAAAUAGUGCCAAAAAUGAUAAAACGCUGGUUAAAUCCAUUAACGCUUGCCGUUUGGUUUAUGGAUGAUGGCUCAAUUAAGUCAAAAUUCCAUAAGGCCAAGAUUAUAAAUACCCAGUCGUUUGCCAUAACUGAUCUAAAAUUAUUGCAAUCGGCUUUGCUAGAAAGGUAUGGCAUUGAAACUAAAAUACGCAAUCAGAAAGAAGGUCAGCAAAUUUAUCUUUUGUCUAAAACAAUUGAUAAAUUUGAAAGUAUAAUUAGACCAUAUAUUGUAGAAUCAAUGUCAUAUAAAUUAGGUUAACAAAUUGCCUAAAAUGUAACGGAGGCGUUUACAAAGGUUGGCUUAGCUCGGAUGGAAAUCGAGCCGGACGUGCAAACGCACAAGCCAGCUUUACUGCAAGAGCUACAACUCGAGCAGUCACGAAAGUGGAAGUUAGUGAACCGACCAACCUAUAUAGGAAGGUGGAAGAUCAUCGGAUAAAAGCUACUCCGGGGAUAACAGGCUGAUCCUGCCCGAUAGCCCNNNNNNNNNNNNNNNNNNNNNNNNNNNNNNNNNNNNNNNNNNNNNNNNNNNNNNNNNNNNNNNNNNNNNNAAUUAAAGCGGUACGCGAGCUGGGUUCAGAACGUAAAUAACAUUGCGUUUAAUCACAGAAAUGUGAUAUAAUAGUACUGACUCAUAACGGUGAAACCCUACUAAAAACCGAACUUUUUAGAGGGCAAUACCGUGGGAAGGUUAGUUUAUGUCAAUAAUUUCGUCUACAACAAAAUCAUAUAUUGCUGGUUUUCUGGAUGGUGAUGGCUGUAUUUUGUUUCAAUUGGUGCGUAGAAAAGACUAUAUUUAUGGUUUUCAAAUACGCGCUAGCAUAGUUUUUUAUCAAAAAACUAUUAAUAGACAUCAUUUAGAAUGGCUAAAGAAAACAUUAUAUAGUAUUGGUUAUAUCAGAGAUCGCAAUGAUGGUAUGACAGAAUAUACCAUUGUCGGUUUUAAAUCAGUAAUAAAGAUUUUGGAAUUAUUGAAACCUUAUAUAAUUCUAAAAAAGAGGCAUGUAGAGGUCGCGUUGCAAAUUAAUAAAAUUUUGCAAGGCAAGUUUUCAUUAGAAAAAAUGUUAAAAGCGGCCAAGUUAGUUGAUCUUUUUGGAGAAUUAAAUUAUUCCAAAAGGAGAAAAAAUACCUCUGUGGAAUUAAAGAAUUAUUUAAAGCAACAUAAAUUAUACCCCUGUAACGACUUCAGACCGGAUAUUUUAAAUUGAAGGUCUGGGAUAGAUAUAAAAUUAUAUUUAUAACACGUCAGCUCCUACUUCAUGUUGUUGAAGAGGAUGAAGGUAUAGUCUGUGCCAUUAGUAAUAAUGGAAUAACAUGCGUGAGACAGUUCGGUCUCCUAUCCGCUGUGGGCGUUGAAUAUUGAGAGGGUCUGCUCCUAGUACGAGAGGACCGGAGCGGACGAACCUCUGGUGUACCAGUUGUCCUACCAAGGGCAUUGCUGGGUAGCUACGUUCGGUAUGGAUAAACGCUGAAAGCAUCUAAGCGUGAAGCCGUCCUCAAGAUUAAUAUUCGUUAUUAGACUCCUUGUAGACUACAAGGUUGAUAGGCGCUAGGUAUAAGCUCAGUAAUGAGUUAAGCCGAGGCGUACUAAUUGUCAAGCG